UUUGAUCCUGGCUCAGGAUGAACGCUGGCGGCGUGCCUAAUACAUGCAAGUCGAGCGAAUGGAUUAAGAGCUUGCUCUUAUGAAGUUAGCGGCGGACGGGUGAGUAACACGUGGGUAACCUGCCCAUAAGACUGGGAUAACUCCGGGAAACCGGGGCUAAUACCGGAUAACAUUUGCACUGCAUGGUGCGAAAUUGAAAGGCGGCUUCGGCUGUCACUUAUGGAUGGACCCGCGUCGCAUUAGCUAGUUGGUGAGGUAACGGCUCACCAAGGCAACGAUGCGUAGCCGACCUGAGAGGGUGAUCGGCCACACUGGGACUGAGACACGGCCCAGACUCCUACGGGAGGCAGCAGUAGGGAAUCUUCCGCAAUGGACGAAAGUCUGACGGAGCAACGCCGCGUGAGUGAUGAAGGCUUUCGGGUCGUAAAACUCUGUUGUUAGGGAAGAACAAGUGCUAGUUGAAUAAGCUGGCACCUUGACGGUACCUAACCAGAAAGCCACGGCUAACUACGUGCCAGCAGCCGCGGUAAUACGUACGUGGCAAGCGUUAUCCGGAAUUAUUGGGCGUAAAGCGCGCGCAGGUGGUUUCUUAAGUCUGAUGUGAAAGCCCACGGCUCAACUGUGGAGGGUCAUUGCAAACUGCGAGACUUGAGUGCAGAAGACGAAAGUGGAAUUCCAUGUGUAGCGAUGAAAUGCGUACACAUAUGGAGGAACACCAGUGGCGAAAGCUAC
This 732-nucleotide ribosomal RNA is filed under the name uncultured bacterium. RNAcentral describes it as "bacterial SSU rRNA". It matches the Rfam family "Bacterial small subunit ribosomal RNA", at positions 12 to 725 of the family's 1533-position model. The record is from RNAcentral.